This 374-nucleotide ribosomal RNA is filed under the name uncultured prokaryote. RNAcentral's name for it is "bacterial SSU rRNA". It matches the Rfam family "Bacterial small subunit ribosomal RNA", at positions 524 to 896 of the family's 1533-position model. The record is from RNAcentral.
GACGAACCGUCCAAACGUUAUUCGGAAUCACUGGGCUUAAAGGGCGCGUAGGCGGCCGAGCGGGUCGUGGGUGAAAUCCCCCAGCUUAACUGGGGAACUGCUUACGAUACCACUGCGGCUCGAGGAAGGAAGGGGCAAUUGGAACUGUCGGUGGAGCGGUGAAAUGCGUUGAUAUCGACAGGAACGCCUGUGGCGAAAGCGAAUUGCUGGUCCUUUUCUGACGCUGAGGCGCGAAAGCCAGGGGAGCAAACGGGAUUAGAUACCCCGGUAGUCCUGGCCUUAAACGAUGAGAACUAGGUAGUGGGUCCGACCUGGGCACACUGCCGAAGCGAAAGUCUUAAGUUCUCCGCCUGGGGAGUAUGGUCGCAAGGCUG